AUGAAUAAACUUUGGUCGAGCUGUUGCUGGUCCUUCGGGGCAUGUGCACGCUUGCCACCAAUUUUUAACCACCUGUGCACCUUUGUAGACUAGAAACAAUUCUCGAGGCAACUCGGAUUGAGAACUGUUGCGCGUGAGCCAGCUGUUCUUGUGUUUCUCAGUCUAUGUUUCAUAUACCCCAUUGUAUGUAUCAGAAUGUAUUGCUAGGCCUUUUGUGCCUUUAAAUUAAAUA
This 232-nucleotide unclassified non-coding RNA is filed under the name uncultured Clitopilus. RNAcentral's name for it is "sequence contains ITS1". Lineage: Eukaryota; Fungi; Basidiomycota; Agaricomycetes; Agaricales; Entolomataceae. The record is from RNAcentral.